This 497-nucleotide ribosomal RNA is filed under the name uncultured bacterium. RNAcentral describes it as "partial 16S ribosomal RNA". It matches the Rfam family "Bacterial small subunit ribosomal RNA", at positions 28 to 507 of the family's 1533-position model. The record is from RNAcentral.
GACGAACGCUUGCGGCGUGCCUAAUACAUGCAAGUUGAGCGAUGAAGAUUGGUGCUUGCACCAAUUUGAAGAGCAGCGAACGGGUGAGUAACGCGUGGGGAAUCUGCCUUUGAGCGGGGGACAACAUUUGGAAACGAAUGCUAAUACCGCAUAACAACUUUAAACAUAAGUUUUAAGUUUGAAAGAUGCAAUUGCAUCACUCAAAGAUGAUCCCGCGUUGUAUUAGCUAGUUGGUGAGGUAAAGGCUCACCAAGGCGAUGAUACAUAGCCGACCUGAGAGGGUGAUCGGCCACAUUGGGACUGAGACACGGCCCAAACUCCUACGGGAGGCAGCAGUAGGGAAUCUUCGGCAAUGGACGAAAGUCUGACCGAGCAACGCCGCGUGAGUGAAGAAGGUUUUCGGAUCGUAAAACUCUGUUGGUAGAGAAGAACGUUGGUGAGAGUGGAAAGCUCAUCAAGUGACGGUAACUACCCAGAAAGGGACGGCUAACUACGUG